CGAUUCAUAUGAAAACUUUUUAAGUUAUCCACCAAAGCAAAUUAAUUAAAUCAAUCAAAUUGUUAGAAUACAACAAAUUAAUCUAUAAUUUUAUUUUAAAUUAAAUUAUUUAAAAAGUGUAUUUUCAUUAUAAACAAAAUAAUAAAUAAGUAAAACUGAUUUGAUGGUAAUUUUUAUGACAUAUAUAUAUAUAUAUAUGUAUAUUAUGUGAAAGAAAUAUAAGCUUAAUAUGGAAAAAAAUCUUAAAUACAAAAAACUCUAAAAUUAACAAAAAAAACCAA
This 281-nucleotide long non-coding RNA is filed under the name Brassica rapa (field mustard). RNAcentral's name for it is "long non-coding RNA (BRAP_LNC005145)". The record is from RNAcentral. Lineage: Eukaryota; Viridiplantae; Streptophyta; Magnoliopsida; Brassicales; Brassicaceae.